CCUCGGGAGGCAGCAGUGGGGAAUAUUGCACAAUGGGCGCAAGCCUGAUGCAGCCAUGCCGCGUGUGUGAAGAAGGCCUUCGGGUUGUAAAGCACUUUCAGCGGGGAGGAAGGCGGUGAGGUUAAUAACCUCAUCGAUUGACGUUACCCGCAGAAGAAGCACCGGCUAACUCCGUGCCAGCAGCCGCGGUAAUACGGAGGGUGCAAGCGUUAAUCGGAAUUACUGGGCGUAAAGCGCACGCAGGCGGUCUGUCAAGUCGGAUGUGAAAUCCCCGGGCUCAACCUGGGAACUGCAUUCGAAACUGGCAGGCUAGAGUCUUGUAGAGGGGGGUAGAAUUCCAGGUGUAGCGGUGAAAUGCGUAGAGAUCUGGAGGAAUACCGGUGGCGAAGGCGGCCCCCUGGACAAAGACUGACGCUCAGGUGCGAAAGCGUGGGGAGCAAACAGGAUUAGAUACCCCGUAGUC
This 463-nucleotide ribosomal RNA is filed under the name uncultured Klebsiella sp. Its description in RNAcentral is "bacterial SSU rRNA". It matches the Rfam family "Bacterial small subunit ribosomal RNA", at positions 339 to 795 of the family's 1533-position model. Lineage: Bacteria; Pseudomonadati; Pseudomonadota; Gammaproteobacteria; Enterobacterales; Enterobacteriaceae. The record is from RNAcentral.